Molecule: long non-coding RNA, 4467 nt
Filed under: Homo sapiens (human)
Lineage: Eukaryota; Metazoa; Chordata; Mammalia; Primates; Hominidae
Description: non-protein coding lnc-RWDD4-2:7
Source: RNAcentral
ACAUGUCCCGGAACCUACGCGGAGCCAGGAUCCGCGACGGUCCGAGCUGCUGAUCGCCGUCCUGAUCCAUUGACUGGGAAAGAGGUUGGAAACAUCACCGCAAAACAUGCUGCAAACCCCGAUUCGGACUCCGCUGGGGCCGAACCAACGCCCCCGCACAGCCCCGACUCCCUCCCCAGCAGCCAGCUCGCCACCGCCCCUCUCGCGACCAGCCAUUUUCCAGGCCCGCGGGAACGCGCGCCGCGCCCCUCCCACGCCCCUCGUCAAGCCCGCAGGCCCCGCCCCCGGCGCGGGGGCCCUCCCCGCCACACACGCCCCUCUCUUCCUCUCCCGCGGGGGACCCCUCCCCUCUUAACCAUUUUGCCGAAAGAACUGGGCUAGGGCUACAACGCGGGGCGCCCGCGAACUUUCCCGGGGCGAGAGAGCGGAACGGACUGCUCUCCUCCGGGCCGGGGCAGGAGCGCGGAGGAAGGCCCCCUCAGUCCGCCUCCGCGGCCUCUCGCCCCCUCCCCCCGCACGUUCCAAAGCACCCGCACUCCGGGGUGGGGGCGAGUGAGGUGGGGAAGCGCGCCCCGCAGACCAGCGGGAGCCCGGCCGCUCACUCCCUCCGACCCUUGCCCGGCUGCAGUCCCGGGCCGGGGCCGCAGGGUCUGCGGCACGGGGCGGGCCAGCGCCUGAACAAAUGCUUGCUGCUUAAAAUGGCUGAUUCCCCUCAGCGGCAGCUGCAGCCGCUGGGUCUGCAGCGGGGGCUGACAAGCGGCCCCCACCCCCACUCUGGGGACCCCAGAGAAGUACUCGCCCACCGCGGGGCCACGGAGGGCCGCCAACCCGGUCUCCAGUCCUCCCAGUCCCGCUCGGCAGACCCUCGGUGCGCUCGGGGAGACUGUCACGGGAGAAAGGGAAGGUGGCACUCCCCCGGACAGGCUCCCCGCCACCGGCUCCCGAGGCCGGCAGCCCCGCGGCUCCUACCUUGAUAUUUGUUGUCCAGCUCUCGCAGCACAGACACGUUCCUCUGCAUGUCGUGGGGCAGCGACUCCACGCACUCAAGGUAGUCCUGCACGUAGCAGGUGAGCAGCCGGCUCCGCUCCCCGGUCAGGAGCGCGGCCGACGAGUACAGUUGCUGCUGCUGCUGCCCUAACAUCCUGCCGAUCCGCGCCGUCGCCGCCGCCUCCGCAUCCAGCAGCCGCACAUGCACCGGCCGCGGCCGCCGCGGGCCCUCAGCUCAGCAGCCCGGCGCCGCGGGGACCCCGCAGCCGCUCGAGAGGGCACGGCCGCGCUCCCCGAUCUCCACUCCCCCCAGAGCAGCCCUCACUCCCCGCCCCCGCAGCACCAGCCCAGGGGCGGGGCGAAACCGGGGCUCCCUCCUUUCUCCCCUCCCGCUCCAGGACCGGAGCAGUGGGGAUCCCCUCGGCGGGGCCGGCGCCGGGGUCCCGGGCGCUGACACUUCCUGUCCCCCUCGGAGUCCCCAGAUGCUACGAGUGCCGUCUCGCAGCCCGGAUCCCCAUGACAAGCCCGUCGCCGCCCGCCUGUCCCCAGUCACCCUCCGUGCCUCACGGAGAGCCUCCCGCUAGCCUGCCCCCGCCCCUCCGCCCGCGGCCGCCUCUGCGCCUGCGCAGCGCUCCCUGCGAAUAAGGCCGGGGCCCGCCCCUACCGCCUACCGGAGGGUUCGCAUUCUCCCGCCUUCGCUCCGCCGCCCGGGCGAUUGGUCUGCCGGCUCUGGGCUAGCGGGGGAGGGUGUGGGGGGCGGCCAAACGGCAGGCCGCGCCCCGCCCCCCUUAAAGGGGAAGCCCGGGGAGCCAGUCUCUGCGCCUCGCGUCUGAAUGGGACCCGGGAGGGGAGGCGGCUCGGUCCUUCGUGCCGUCCUCCCCGCUGGGAGGGGCAGCUCCAGCUCCGCUCGGCUCGCUCCGCCCGGCCACACCGGCUUUUUCCCCAUCAGGCGGUCCGAGUGCGGCUCCUCGCGAGCCUGCAAAGGAGCAGCAGGCGGUUCCUUUUCGGACGACCUGGAGCGAGGCCUGCGGGACUGCGCGCCCCGGCGGGCGGCGUGCGGCUCCCGGCAUGCGCGGCGGCUGCGUUCCCGCCGCCUCCGAGCUCGCCUGGGGCUGCCGCCCGCCUCCUGCCGGGCCCUCGGGCUCGCCCGGCACCGCGGGGCUUGAUCAGGGAGCAGAUAUUUUAGUACAACAUCUUUUCAUCACAGAAAUGAUAUCUUCAGGGAAAAGACUUCGAAAAAGUGCCUGAAGUGACACAACACAUGUUUUCUUCUGGUAUCUGGCUAAAGAAUGAAAUCUGGCAGAAAUAUUUAAUGAAGAGGAAUCUGAACAUAGCAGUUGAGAAAGAAAGAUUGGGAGAAGACUCCAGAUGUCGUAAAGCAAAGAGAGGAUGAGGCACAGGAAGCAGCUCUUAUUAUUUCUGUUGCACUUUGGCUCAGAGAACUCCAAGCAAUUGAUUCUAUCCUGAGGACAUAUUUUUUCAAUUUGAGAUAUAAUUAAUUUGUUUUCCAGUAAAAUAGAUAUUAGUAGAUCUAUGACAUACAGGAAACAAUCGAAAAUAGAGAUAAGUGGUAAUAAUACCUCAUUACUUAAGACAUCUUUUUCAGAAAAUUAUUCUUCAGUGUGUGGUGCAUUGGCUUUCUAGGAAAGAACGGGAGGGAGAACCCUGCUGACAUGAAUAAUGGCCUGGGGGAGAGGGGGAGAGAAGCAAGAGAAAGGAGCAGUUAAGAGGAAAAUGAUGUCAUAUGGAAAGAAGGAAAUAGAUCAGGGCGUCUUUAAGAGCUAAUAUCAAUUGGGUUUAGUGUCUGUAUUUAGAGGAUGGGAGAGAAGAGGUAUCAUCUAGGGUUUUGGCUUGGGCCACAGGUAGAUCUUGUUAAGGCUGUACGAAAUAGAAAAUCCAGGAGGUAACGCAGGUGUGUGGGGGAAAUGAUACAAAUGUAAAUCAUACAAGGAUAUGAACCCUGUAGAUUUUACAACUUUGAGCUCUAUCCUUCUUAGGCCUUCUCUUCUAAGCAGCAUAAACUACUGCUGCCUACAUGUUGCCUGUUCAUAAAGGCUGAGGCAGGGGAGUCGCUUGAACUCGGGAGGCGGAGGUUGCAGUGAGCCGAGAUCAUGCCAUUUCCCUCCAGCCUGGCGACAGAGCAAGACUCCAUCUCAAAAAAAAGAAAAGAGAAGAAAAAAACAAAGAACUUUAUGCACCUUCUGGAAUAACAAAAUGCAAAUGUAAUGUUAUCUACCAGGAUAGAAAUUGGAGGCUAGAAUAUGUUGGGUAGGGUAGAGAGACUAGAGGGAAUGAUUUAGCAAUAAAAUAGGUUUAAAUAUCUUCUCACGUGCCCAGACUUAAUUAGCUUUGUAUUAUUCCUAUUAGUAAGCCAGGAAUUAGUACUAGGUGAUAAGCAAGGAUGUGCAGGGCCUUGUGAGGAAAAGAGUUACUGUAGCAGUUCUGGAUGCUUACCCCUUGCAUGUCUCCAGGGGAACCAUCUUUGACCUUGGCCAACCCCUGGAUUGCAAUCCUUGGAGUGUUCUUUAUGUUAGUGAUGAUGAUUUUGUUGUAUACACCUGGAGCAUUGGACCAUUCCAUACUGGCUCGCCAGGUUGCGUUGCACAAACACCAAGACUGAUAAAUAGGCACCUGGUUUUAUUAUUGGGCCCCUGAGUUUUGGUUGCCGUAGCCAAUUCCAUAGCAGAGUAUGAGUACAUGAACAGCCUCCCACAAAAGCCUUAAACCCUGAGACUCAAGUGGGAUUCUGUGGGCAGAGACAUUCCACACGUGUCUAUAGUUUGCUGAGAGAGAGACAGAAUUCCUGUGUAGCUGCAGACAAAGGACAACAGAAUCCUAUGUUGGACCUCUCUGGACUCCACUGAUACAUCUUUUCCUGUUGCUUUUGCCCUGUAUCCUUUGCUGUCAUUAAUCUGAGCCACGUAUUAAUAUAUAACCUGCUAUUGAGUCUUGUGAGGCCUUCUGGGAUCACCAAAGGAAACAACCAUAUACCUAGUACUGAAGAGAUUUUUUUAAAAGCCCAAUUUGUCCAUCUGAGUCUUGAUAGGAUUCACUGAAAAAGAAUAAUCAACAUAUGUGAGUAUCUGCAGUGUCGAGGUUUAAAUGAAAUCAAGGCUUUGGUCUUUGUCCAUGAGACAUUUAUAGUCUUUAUAGGGACAUGACACAUGUUAGGGAAAUGCUUAUAAGCAUAAGUAUAAAUAAAAGCAAAUUGGCAAUGAUGGCAGAAUUAAAGAGAGAUUAAAAUUGGUAAAAAUCAAGCAAGGCUAAUGAAAGAUGGUAGGUAUUUAAGAAGAGAUAUAGGACUGCAUUAUCAAAUGAUAGCCAUAAUUUUCCCCCAUAUGUACUUUAGCAGUAUGUAAAAACUGUAAAACAAAAAACUUUUUUCUUGGAUUUUAUCUGAUAUAUUCCAGGCUCAACUCAAGUUUGAUGAAUUAUUUGUACGGAAUCUAAAUUUGUACUAAAUCAAAAUUUAAGUGUUUU